CAACCCUCAGGGUCCCCGUUCCGGCGGGGAACCUGGUGUUGGGGAUCGGCCCGCCCCGUGCGGCGCCGUCCCCCAAAUUCAGUGGCGGUCUCGCUGCAGCCUCCCCUGCGUAGUAGUUACAACCUCGCAUCGGAGCUCAGCGCGGCCACGCCGUAAAACCCCCGACUUUCUGAA
Molecule: unclassified non-coding RNA, 174 nt
Filed under: Stachybotrys chartarum
Lineage: Eukaryota; Fungi; Ascomycota; Sordariomycetes; Hypocreales; Stachybotryaceae
Description: partial internal transcribed spacer 2
Source: RNAcentral